RNAcentral lists this unclassified non-coding RNA (1668 nucleotides) under Leishmania donovani. RNAcentral's name for it is "gene:LdHU3.03.0260(CDS-product:hypothetical_prote in_conserved)". Lineage: Eukaryota; Euglenozoa; Kinetoplastea; Trypanosomatida; Trypanosomatidae. The record is from RNAcentral.
CCGCCGUGCCCAAUCGCUUGCGCGCACCGUGCGCGCUCCCCGACUCCCUACCCUCUACAUCGCAUUGCCUCGCUUUUGCUCACCGUGCCAUGUCCGUUGACCGUGUGGCGAGGUGCGCGCACCUGCACAAGGGCGGUGCGCGAUCUGUGGCGCGUGUGUGCGCUGAUGGAAAAGGCUGCGGUCAAGUGGCACUCCUCCGCCGGCUGUCAUGCGCUGGGAGCCCCAUGGCUGCGCAGCCUGGACGUGUCUGCGUCUCGGCGGAGCUGAGCCAACGAUACUGUUGUGCCGUGGGUCACCGCAUCACGGCUGCGACAAGAGGUGAGGUGCCUCUGCCCGCAUCUUUUACAGGGUCGCAGCAGCCUACCGUGGAGGAUCUCUUUGCGAGCCGCUUCGGCACGACCACGUUUGGCCACCGUCGGGGCACCUCCGCCACCGAUGCGCCACCGCCUGCCUCGCCAAGCGCAGGCGUGGACGCGCUCUUCACGGAACGGUUUCCUGCUCUGACAGCACAGGGUACAGCGGAGAGGAUGCACGAAGUGGCCGCGUCUCACGUUACCACGAAGACACAGUCAGCGAUGUGGGAUGGUCUUCGGCGGUGCUUCAAAUUUCGCGGCCGCCUACCUUCGGCCCGCAUCAAUAACAGCAUGGGUGACAGGCCGUCGCCGGCGCAACCGCCUGCCCGCUUCUCUUCGCAGUACCCGCCCGUCGCCAACGAAGCCUCGGGGCUUUCAGCGUCUAGGCACCAGCCUCCGCCGCCUGAGGUGCAGCGCUACUGGCACAGCUACCAGCUGUGGGUAUCCCUGCAGCCGCACAUCCAGCAGGAGCAGCAGGCAGUACUGCAGCUGCGUGCACAGGCACAUGCAGCCAAGAUCGCGCAGCAGAAGUCCCUGCGGCAGCACCUGCACCGCACCAUGUACUGGACUCUGUUUGUAGUGUGCCCGCUGCUGGGACUGCUGUUCCUGUGGCUGGCCAUCGACGCCGCUGCGUACGGGGCGGAGCUGGAGCUACUGCCCUUUGUGAAGUACGACGAGGCGCUGCGGGACUUUGCCGAGGCGGAGGGCCGCCAUCGCCAGUUCAUCCGCGGCAAGGGCAACAACGGCGUAGCGAAGAAGAAAAACAUACGCAUCGACUAAGCGACGUGGGCAUGCGGGGCCGCUCUUGUUCUGCACACACACACACACACACACACACACCUCACUCGGCCGCACUCGUAAAACUCUGGAAGGCCUCUCGCGCGAGCCUGUGCAUGACGGUUACGUGUUGUACUUCAUCUUCACAAGCAGCCAGCCGGAAAGCCGAAGGAAAGCGGAACGAGCGAUGGAAAGUGCGAGCGUGCGGAGUGAUCGGGCGCCUCUCUUGCUUCAUCUCCCUUAUCGCUGUGCCGCGCCCCCGCCCUCUUCCCUAGCCCAAGCCAUGAACUCCGCGCCUCACUUGCCGGCCGCGGCAGCUGACAACCCAGGUGAGGGCACCGUUCUCGCUGCCUUCUGGUAGGCGGGUAUGAGGCGGACAGCGGCGACAGGGCGGAAGAUACCACCCCGACUCGUGCACUUCUGGCCUCUCUCGCAUGCGGCAGAUGUGUCCACGCGUGCAGAACACAACACAGACAACUUUGGCUCAGCAGCAGCCUCGUCCAUGUUGUGCGUCCGUGUCUUCGUUCUUCUCUCUGUG